UAUACACUCUACUGUACGUCGCUCUGGAUAAGAGUGUCUGCUAAAUGACUGACA
Non-coding RNA from Salmo salar (Atlantic salmon), 54 nucleotides. The record is from Rfam. NCBI's taxonomy places the organism in Eukaryota, Metazoa, Chordata, Actinopteri, Salmoniformes, Salmonidae.